AUCCAGACUCCUACGGGAGGCAGCAGUUAGGAAUAUUGGUCAAUGGGCUUACUCCUUAACCAGCCAAUUCUCGUGAGGGAAUACUUCCCUAUGGUUUUUAAACCUCUUUUUUCCGGGAGCAAUUUUCUCUACGUGUCUCUUUAUCGAGAUUCCCUUAAGAAAACUCAUCUGCUAACUCCUUUCCAGCAGCCUCUUUAAUACGGAGUAUUCUCGCGUUAUCCGGAUUUAUUGGGUGUAAAGGGUGCGCAGGCGGAGGUGCAAGUCAGCGGGAAAAUUGCGGGGAUAAACCCCGUCAUGCCGUUGAAACUGCAUCCCUUGAGUGCGCGAGAAGUAUGCGGAAUGAGUGGUGUAGCGGUGAAAUGAAUAGAUAGAAAGAAGAACUCCGAUUGCGAAGGCAGCAUAAAGGCGCGCAACUGACGCUCAUGCACGAAAGCGUGGGUAUAGAAAAGGAUUAGAUACCCCAGUAGAG
RNAcentral lists this ribosomal RNA (469 nucleotides) under uncultured bacterium. RNAcentral's name for it is "bacterial SSU rRNA". It matches the Rfam family "Bacterial small subunit ribosomal RNA", at positions 329 to 795 of the family's 1533-position model. The record is from RNAcentral.